This 1433-nucleotide ribosomal RNA is filed under the name uncultured organism. RNAcentral's name for it is "16S ribosomal RNA". It matches the Rfam family "Bacterial small subunit ribosomal RNA". The record is from RNAcentral.
CUAGCUACAGGCUUAACACAUGCAAGUCGAGGGGCAGCAUGGUCUUAGCUUGCUAAGGCCGAUGGCGACCGGCGCACGGGUGAGUAACACGUAUCCAACCUGCCGUCUACUCUUGGACAGCCUUCUGAAAGGAAGAUUAAUACAAGAUGGCAUCAUGAGUCCGCAUGUUCACAUGAUUAAAGGUAUUCCGGUAGACGAUGGGGAUGCGUUCCAUUAGAUAGUAGGCGGGGUAACGGCCCACCUAGUCUUCGAUGGAUAGGGGUUCUGAGAGGAAGGUCCCCCACAUUGGAACUGAGACACGGUCCAAACUCCUACGGGAGGCAGCAGUGAGGAAUAUUGGUCAAUGGGUGAGAGCCUGAACCAGCCAAGUAGCGUGAAGGAUGACUGCCCUAUGGGUUGUAAACUUCUUUUAUAAAGGAAUAAAGUCGGGUAUGGAUACCCGUUUGCAUGUACUUUAUGAAUAAGGAUCGGCUAACUCCGUGCCAGCAGCCGCGGUAAUACGGAGGAUCCGAGCGUUAUCCGGAUUUAUUGGGUUUAAAGGGAGCGUAGAUGGAUGUUUAAGUCAGUUGUGAAAGUUUGCGGCUCAACCGUAAAAUUGCAGUUGAUACUGGAUAUCUUGAGUGCAGUUGAGGCAGGCGGAAUUCGUGGUGUAGCGGUGAAAUGCUUAGAUAUCACGAAGAACUCCGAUUGCGAAGGCAGCCUGCUAAGCUGCAACUGACAUUGAGGCUCGAAAGUGUGGGUAUCAAACAGGAUUAGAUACCCUGGUAGUCCACACGGUAAACGAUGAAUACUCGCUGUUUGCGAUAUACAGCAAGCGGCCAAGCGAAAGCGUUAAGUAUUCCACCUGGGGAGUACGCCGGCAACGGUGAAACUCAAAGGAAUUGACGGGGGCCCGCACAAGCGGAGGAACAUGUGGUUUAAUUCGAUGAUACGCGAGGAACCUUACCCGGGCUUAAAUUGCAGAUGAAUUACGGUGAAAGCCGUAAGCCGCAAGGCAUCUGUGAAGGUGCUGCAUGGUUGUCGUCAGCUCGUGCCGUGAGGUGUCGGCUUAAGUGCCAUAACGAGCGCAACCCUUGUUGUCAGUUACUAACAGGUCAUGCUGAGGACUCUGACAAGACUGCCAUCGUAAGAUGUGAGGAAGGUGGGGAUGACGUCAAAUCAGCACGGCCCUUACGUCCGGGGCUACACACGUGUUACAAUGGGGGGUACAGAGGGCCGCUACCACGCGAGUGGAUGCCAAUCCCAAAAACCUCUCUCAGUUCGGACUGGAGUCUGCAACCCGACUCCACGAAGCUGGAUUCGCUAGUAAUCGCGCAUCAGCCACGGCGCGGUGAAUACGUUCCCGGGCCUUGUACACACCGCCCGUCAAGCCAUGGGAGCCGGGGGUACCUGAAGUGCGUAACCGCGAGGAGCGCCCUAGGGUAAAACUGGUG